GGUGAGACGAUGGUAUCUGUGAAUGCUCCACAGUAUUUGGAGUGCUCCAGCCUGGGAGCCCAGAUCAACCUCUGAUUAUACUAGAUCUCCUGCCUCUAUAGAAAAUUCCUUGGUGUUCCAUGAUCCAGUGGCCCUGUCUUCUUCAGGUCAGAGGAAGACAGGGUGAGACCUGUGUGCUGUCCCUGGGGGCAUCUGACAUCACGCCCUUCCCCUGCCCUCAGGGAGCUCACCGCCUAGACCAGCAGCUCCCCAUCACCCCCAGGGCAGCACCUCAAAGAGGCCCCUGGCCCGGAGGAGGGGGUGCAUGUCCUUGGAGAAGGUUGGCCUGGACUCAGGUGGUCUCUCCCCCAUGGGAAGCAAGUGUAGUUAAGGCCGGGAUCUGAAGCCUUCACACAUUUGUCGAGCUCCCCAGGGAAGAGACAGCAAAGGCCCAGUGUGUAGC
RNAcentral lists this long non-coding RNA (442 nucleotides) under Bos taurus (domestic cattle). Its description in RNAcentral is "long non-coding RNA NONBTAT019157". Lineage: Eukaryota; Metazoa; Chordata; Mammalia; Artiodactyla; Bovidae. The record is from RNAcentral.